RNAcentral lists this long non-coding RNA (365 nucleotides) under Zostera marina. Its description in RNAcentral is "long non-coding RNA (ZMAR_LNC005739)". The record is from RNAcentral. Lineage: Eukaryota; Viridiplantae; Streptophyta; Magnoliopsida; Alismatales; Zosteraceae.
GUUCACCUCGUAAACAGAUCUAGGAUCUUCAACUCCGAUCAUCAGCAUACAGAUCAUGGAUUCCCACUGCGUUCUGCUCAUAGAAUCUCCAACGAACACGACUCUUUUGCCGCGGAGCUUCUCCAGCACCGCGGUGGCGUUGAAUUGAGGUAUGUCGCAACCGUGAGGUUUCCAUCUCAAUCUCAUGUAAUCCGUGUCUUUCCUUCCAUUCUUCAGGCAGUUGAACCCUCGCUCAGUAAAGGGACAGGUUGAGCUGUUGUAGAGAGGAUGAGCGUUUGAGAAGAUCCAACUUCCAUCGAAUAUAUCACAGUCGGCGACGGUGCUGACGUUUUCCGCCAAAACGAUUGGAUUAUUCCGACGAUCGG